Callithrix jacchus (white-tufted-ear marmoset) is the source of this 117-nucleotide unclassified non-coding RNA. It matches the Rfam family "Metazoan signal recognition particle RNA". From Rfam's summary of the family: The signal recognition particle (SRP) is a universally conserved ribonucleoprotein. It is involved in the co-translational targeting of proteins to membranes. The record is from Ensembl. NCBI's taxonomy places the organism in Eukaryota, Metazoa, Chordata, Mammalia, Primates, Cebidae.
GCUGGGUGUGGUGGCCCAUGCCUGUAAUCCCAACACUUUGGGAGGCCGAGGCAGGUGGUUCACUUGAGGUCAGGAGUUCGAGACUAGCCUGACCAACAUGGUGAAACCCCGUCUCUA